CAACAGGGAUUGCCCUAGUAACGGCGAGUGAAGCGGCAACAGCUCAAAUUUGAAAUCUGGCUCCUCUGGUGCCCGAGUUGUAAUUUGCAGAGGGUGCUUUGGUGUUGGCUGUGGUCCAAGUUCCCUGGAACAGGACGUCGCAGAGGGUGAGAACCCCGUACGUGGCCGCCAGCCUUCGCCGUGUAAAGCCCCUUCGACGAGUCGAGUUGUUUGGGAAUGCAGCUCUAAAUGGGAGGUAAAUUCCUUCUAAAGCUAAAUAUUGGCCAGAGACCGAUAGCGCACAAGUAGAGUGAUCGAAAGAUGAAAAGCACUUUGGAAAGAGAGUGAAACAGCACGUGAAAUUGUUGAAAGGGAAGCGCUUGGAGCCAGACGUGCCCGCGGAUGCUCAGCCGGGGUUUUCCCCGGUGCACUCUUCCGCGGGCAGGCCAGCAUCAGUUUGGGCGGUCGGACAAAUGCCUGCUAAACGUACCUUCCUCCGGGAAGGACUUAUAGGGUAGGCGGCAUACGACCAGCCCGGACUGAGGACCGCGCAUCUGCUAGGAUGCUGGCGUAAUGGCUGUAAGCGGCCCGUCUUGAAACACGGACCAAGGAGUCUAACAUCUAUGCGAGUGUUUGGGUGUCAAGCCCCAGCGCGCAAUGAAAGUGAACGCAGGUGGGAACCCCUCGGGGUGCACCAUCGACCGAUCCUGAUGUCUUCGGAAGGAUUUGAGUAAGAGCAUAGCUGUUGGGACCCGAAAGAUGGUGAACUAUGCCUGAAUAGGGUGAAGCCAGAGGAAACUCUGGUGGAGGCUCGCAGCGGUUCUGACGUGCAAAUCGAUCGUCAAAUUUGGGCAUAGGGGCGAAAGACUAAUCGAACUAUCUAGUAGCUGGU
Molecule: ribosomal RNA, 871 nt
Filed under: Teichospora grandicipis
Lineage: Eukaryota; Fungi; Ascomycota; Dothideomycetes; Pleosporales; Teichosporaceae
Description: eukaryotic LSU rRNA
Rfam family: Eukaryotic large subunit ribosomal RNA
Source: RNAcentral